ACACGACUACAUUAGAUACCCGCGUAGUCCCAGCCCUAAACGAUGCGCGUUAGGUGUAUCGGUGACCACGAGUCACCGAGGUGCCGAAGGGAAACCGUGAAACGUGCCGCCUGGGAAGUACGGUCGCAAGGCUGAAACUUAAAGGAAUUGGCGGGGGAGCACCACAAGAGGUGGAGGCUGCGGUUCAAUUGGACUCAACGCCGGAAAACUCAUCGGGAGCGACAGCAGUAUGAAGGCCAAGCUGAAGACUUUGCCGGAUUAGCUG
Molecule: ribosomal RNA, 265 nt
Filed under: uncultured archaeon
Lineage: Archaea
Description: partial 16S ribosomal RNA
Rfam family: Archaeal small subunit ribosomal RNA
Source: RNAcentral